This 487-nucleotide ribosomal RNA is filed under the name uncultured bacterium. RNAcentral describes it as "SSU rRNA". It matches the Rfam family "Bacterial small subunit ribosomal RNA", at positions 26 to 523 of the family's 1533-position model. The record is from RNAcentral.
AGGACGAACGCUGGCGGCGUGCCUAACACAUGCAAGUCGAACGCGCUCCAUUCGGUAGCAAUACUGAUGAAGAGCGAGUGGCGAACGGGUGAGUAGCACGUGAGCAACCUGCCCCGAAGACUGGGACAACACCGGGAAACCGGUGCUAAUACCGGAUAUCCCUAUCGGACCGCAUGAUCCGAUAAGGAAAUGUUUUUUCGCUUCGGGAGGGGCUCGCGGCCUAUCAGCUAGUUGGUGGGGUAAUGGCCCACCAAGGCAUCGACGGGUAGCUGGUCUGAGAGGACGAUCAGCCACACUGGGACUGAGACACGGCCCAGACUCCUACGGGAGGCAGCAGUGGGGAAUCUUGCGCAAUGGGCGAAAGCCUGACGCAGCAACGCCGCGUGGAGGACGAAGGCUUUCUGAGUUGUAAACUCCUUUCAGCAGGGACGAUUGUGACGGUACCUGCAGAAGAGCACCGGCAACUACAUGCCAGCAGCCGCGGUAA